This 92-nucleotide transfer RNA is filed under the name Auriculariales sp. MPI-PUGE-AT-0066. It matches the Rfam family "tRNA". From Rfam's summary of the family: Transfer RNA (tRNA) molecules are approximately 80 nucleotides in length. Their secondary structure includes four short double-helical elements and three loops (D, anti-codon, and T loops). Lineage: Eukaryota; Fungi; Basidiomycota; Agaricomycetes; Auriculariales. The record is from Rfam by way of RNAcentral.
GGUUGGGUGGCACAAUUGGUUAGCGCGUGGAGCUAAUAUUCUCAAUCGAGAUUGCAACUCCAAGGUUGUGGGUUCGAGACCCAUCCUGACCA